CAUCCUACGGGGGGCAGCAGUCGGGAAUAUUGCGCAAUGGAGGAAACUCUGACGCAGUGACGCCGCGUAUAGGAAGAAGGUUUUCGGAUUGUAAACUAUUGUCGUUAGGGAAGAUAAAAGACUGUACCUAACGAAUAAGCACCGGCUAACUCCGUGCCAGCAGCCGCGGUAAUACGGAGGGUGCAAGCGUUACUCGGAAUCACUGGGCGUAAAGAGCGCGUAGGCGGGAUAGCAAGUCAGAUGUGAAAUCCUAUGGCUUAACCAUAGAACUGCAUUUGAAACUGUUAUUCUAGAGUAUGGGAGAG
This 305-nucleotide ribosomal RNA is filed under the name uncultured bacterium. RNAcentral describes it as "bacterial SSU rRNA". It matches the Rfam family "Bacterial small subunit ribosomal RNA", at positions 335 to 656 of the family's 1533-position model. The record is from RNAcentral.